UAUGUGAUCGUCUCUCGCAUAUCAAUAAGCGGAGGAAAAGAAACUAACAAGGAUUCCCCUAGUAACGGCGAGUGAAGCGGGAAGAGCUCAAAUUUGAAAUCUUAAAGGGUUUCCCUUUACGAAUUGUAGUUUUAAGAAGUGUUUUCUGUUGAGGUUUUGGUAAAAGUUCUUUGGAAUAGGACAUCAUAGAGGGUGAGAAUCCCGUAUUUGACCUUUACUUUCAACUUUGUGAUACACUUUCAAAGAGUCGGAUUGUUUGGGAAUGCAGUCCAAAAUGGGUGGUAAAUUUCAUCUAAAGCUAAAUAUUGGCGAGAGACCGAUAGCGAACAAGUACCGUGAGGGAAAGAUGAAAAGAACUUUGAAAAGAGAGUUAAACAGUACGUGAAAUUGUCAAAAGGGAAGCGUUUGACACCAGUGUUGUUUUUCUGAAAAUCAAUUAAAGAACUGUUUAUGCUAAGUUGUUUAGACUUUAUCAGCUAACUGUUUAGUUUUGAGCCUUUCUUUAAUGCACUUUUCAGUUAACAAGUCAACAUCAAUUUCUUUUGCUGUAAAAAAGCUUGAGGAAGGUGGCUUGAGAUUCGUCUUAAGUGUUUAUAGCCUCUUGCCUAUGCAGUCGGAGAGAUUGAGGUCUGCAGCGUAGAUCCUUCGGGGCUAAAUGCAUUUGUGCUAAGUUAUAGCAUUUCAUAGACAACUUGUUGACUAUGAUUUGUCUUGUAGCUUACUCGCUUAUGUUAUUUUACCUACGCUUAGGAUGUUGAUAUGCAUGACUGAUAU
This 774-nucleotide ribosomal RNA is filed under the name uncultured Neocallimastigales. RNAcentral's name for it is "partial large subunit ribosomal RNA". It matches the Rfam family "Eukaryotic large subunit ribosomal RNA", at positions 24 to 639 of the family's 3401-position model. Lineage: Eukaryota; Fungi; Neocallimastigomycota; Neocallimastigomycetes; Neocallimastigales. The record is from RNAcentral.